Molecule: ribosomal RNA, 497 nt
Filed under: uncultured bacterium
Lineage: Bacteria
Description: bacterial SSU rRNA
Rfam family: Bacterial small subunit ribosomal RNA
Source: RNAcentral
GACGAACGCUGGCGGCGUGCCUAACACAUGCAAGUCGAGCGGGGACAAAGGAGUAGCAAUACGAAUUUGUUCUAGCGGCGGACGGGUGAGUAACGCGUGAGCAACCUGUCCCAGUCAGGGGGAUAACGAGCCGAAAGGCUCCCUAAUACCGCAUGAGACCACAGCAUCACAUGGUGCAGGGGUCAAAGGAGAAAUCCGGACUGGGGGUGGCUCGCGUCUGAUUAGCUAGUUGGUGAGGUAAAGGCCCACCAAGGCGACGAUCAGUAGCCGACCUGAGAGGGUGAUCGGCCACAUUGGAACUGAGACACGGUCCAAACUCCUACGGGAGGCAGCAGUGGGGAAUAUUGGGCAAUGGGGGAAACCCUGACCCAGCAACGCCGCGUGAAGGAAGAAGGUCUUCGGAUCGUAAACUUCUAUCCUUGGUGAAGAUAAUGACGGUAGCCGAGAAGGAAGCCCCGGCUAACUACGUGCCAGCAGCCGCGGUAAGCAUACUCGUA